UACAGAGGGUGCGAGCGUUGUCCGGAAUCACUGGGCGUAAAGGGCGCGUAGGUGGUGGCUUAAGCGUGCGGUGAAAGCUCGGGGCUCAACCCCGAGUCGGCCGUGCGAACUGGGCUCACUGGAGCAUAGUAGAGGCAGGUGGAAUUCCGGGUGUAGCGGUGGAAUGCGUAGAGAUCCGGAAGAACACCGGUGGCGAAGGCGGCCUGCUGGGCAGUUUGCUGACACUGAGGCGCGGACAGCGUGGGGAGCAAACAGG
Molecule: ribosomal RNA, 256 nt
Filed under: uncultured bacterium
Lineage: Bacteria
Description: partial 16S ribosomal RNA
Rfam family: Bacterial small subunit ribosomal RNA
Source: RNAcentral